UUAAGUUCAGCGGGUAUUCCUACCUGAUCCGAGGUCAACCUUAGAAAGUUGGGGUUGCUGGUCGCCAACCGUCGGUGCCCAUAGCGAGAGAUGUACUACGCUCGGGACCCAACGGCGCCGCCACUGAAUUUGGGGCAGGCCAUCGCUGGCGCUGCCCAAUACCAAGCAGGGCUUGAGUGGUGAUAAUGACGCUCGAACAG
This 200-nucleotide unclassified non-coding RNA is filed under the name Ascomycota sp. Its description in RNAcentral is "partial internal transcribed spacer 2". Lineage: Eukaryota; Fungi; Ascomycota. The record is from RNAcentral.